This 1511-nucleotide long non-coding RNA is filed under the name Homo sapiens (human). RNAcentral describes it as "HSALNT0213721". Lineage: Eukaryota; Metazoa; Chordata; Mammalia; Primates; Hominidae. The record is from RNAcentral.
CAGAAACAUCUUGAUUAGAUGAUUUUUCCCAGAAAAAUAACAGAUGCAGUCAAUAAGUGCUGCUCCCACCGAGACACCAAAAUAUCCCGUAAACCAACACACUCUGAGCAGAUCUUCGCAGUGAAACGCUGAGUCCACAGAGCGGCCACACAGACACGAGGCUGAAGAGGAAGGAAGCUGGGAACCCUGCGCGGGGGCCUUUCAGGGAAGGGUUGCGGCCUGUCUGCAAGCCUUAGCCUCUGCCGGAGAGAGCCCCCACAGCUCCGAACACCUAACAAAGGAAACGUAAGUGCAGCUCCAGUGAUUGGAGGGGGCUCCUCUAAGGGCCAGGAGAGGACUUGGCAAAAGGAUCAUCUCUCUCCCCUGAACUAUGGAGCAUGACUGCGAAUACAAAAUACCAAAGAGCCAGCGCUGAGUCAGAGCCUGCCGGCAAUUACUCUUAAGCGCCAUCUACUGGUUUGCCGCCGAAAUUACAAUUUCAAAAUAUUCUGCCAGUAUAGAGCACCUGUAAAACCCAGAGCAAGAAUCUAGCCACAAAGAUCCCAUACAGAGCCUUGGCCCUCUGAAAGUAUCCAGAAAUGAAGCCAAUUGACUAUACUCAACAUAUACCACAGUUAAGCCCUCAAGGUAAAUGAAUAAUAUAAAAACAAGACGACAAAGGAACACCAGCCCUCUCAAAAGAGUCAGCACAAGAACUCUGGCAAUUCAAAACGUCAAAUAAGCAUACUAGCCCCUCAGCAAGGACUGAAAUGUCCGGAAUGACAGACAUAGAAUUCAGAAUCUGGAUACCAAAGAAGCUCAUCAAGAUUCAAGAGGAAGUAGAAACCCAAUCCAAGGAAUCCAGUAAAAAUGACCCAAAAAUUGAAAGACAAAAUAGCCAUUUUUAAAAAGAACCAAACUGAACUGGAAUUUAAAAAUUCACUACAAAAUUUUCAUAAUAGUGUUGGAAGCAUUAACAGAGGAAUAGAUCAAGCUGUGGAAUCUCAGAGCUCAAAAACUGAUUCUUCAAAUCAACUCAAUCAGAUAAAGAAAAAAAUUUUAAAUAUACAAAUCUUCAGAGAGGAUACUCAAUCUGUAUCCACUGAACAAUUUCUCAUUUCCUGCUUCCUCCAGUCCGGAGUAACCACCAUUCUACUUUUUGUUUCUAAGAAUUUGAUCACUGUAGAUAACCUCAUUUAAGUGGAAUUGUGUAGUAUUUAUCUUUUUGUGAUUGGCUUAUUUCAUGUAUGUGAAAUGUAAAAAAAAAAUGAAGCUAACAAAUAUUUUAUUAAAACUAAACAUUAAUGUGUUUCAUGCCACUGAACUGUACACUUAACCAUGGCUAAAAUGGUAAUCAUAUUUUAUCACAGUAAAAAAAAAUGGAAAAACACUCUCAACGCUAACUGUAACACUAACUGUAACAAUUAGACCAGUUAGAACAAAAAAUUAUUUCUUAUGGGAAGGUGUUCUAUCAUUGACAUAGUUUAGGAUUGCUGGCACAUGGUAAUAAUAAAAAGCACACUACAUGUAAU